Molecule: ribosomal RNA, 488 nt
Filed under: uncultured bacterium
Lineage: Bacteria
Description: bacterial SSU rRNA
Rfam family: Bacterial small subunit ribosomal RNA
Source: RNAcentral
GAUGAACGCUAGCGGCAGGCUUAACACAUGCAAGUCGAGGGGCAGCAUAAUGGAUAGCAAUAUCUAUGGUGGCGACCGGCGCACGGGUGCGUAACGCGUAUGCAACCUACCUUUAACAGGGGGAUAACACUGAGAAAUUGGUACUAAUACCCCAUAAUAUCAUAGAAGGCAUCUUUAUGGUUGAAAAUUCCGAUGGUUAGAGAUGGGCAUGCGUUGUAUUAGCUAGUUGGUGGGGUAACGGCUCACCAAGGCGACGAUACAUAGGGGGACUGAGAGGUUAACCCCCCACACUGGUACUGAGACACGGUCCAAACUCCUACGGGAGGCAGCAGUGAGGAAUAUUGGUCCAAUGGACGAGAGUCUGAACCAGCCAAGUAGCGUGAAGGAUGACUGCCCUAUGGGUUGUAAAACUUCUUUAUACGGGAAUAAAGUGAGGCACGUGUGCCUUUUUGUAUGUACCGUAUGAAUAAGGAUCGGCUAACUCCGUG